Photorhabdus temperata subsp. temperata M1021 is the source of this 127-nucleotide non-coding RNA. The record is from Rfam. Lineage: Bacteria; Pseudomonadati; Pseudomonadota; Gammaproteobacteria; Enterobacterales; Morganellaceae.
UUGACGAUACCGAGGCUGGCUUUGGCCAGAGGGGAUAACCUGCCUACGCAGGCGGUAGUACAGCGUACUCAAACCGAUACCCCGCAAUACCUCAACAGCGUUCACUCUGGCGCACAGGUAUCGUUCA